GAUGAACGCUGGCGGCGUGCCUAAUACAUGCAAGUCGAGCGAACAGACGAGGAGCUUGCUCCUCUGACGUUAGCGGCGGACGGGUGAGUAACACGUGGAUAACCUACCUAUAAGACUGGGAUAACUUCGGGAAACCGGCGCUAAUACCGGAUAAUAUAUUGAACCGCAUGGUUCAAUAGUGAAAGACGGUUUUGCUGUCACUUAUAGAUGGAUCCGCGCCGCAUUAGCUAGUUGGUAAGGUAACGGCUUACCAAGGCGAUGAUGCGUAGCCGACCUGAGAGGGGGAUCGGCCACACUGGAGCUGAGACACGGUCCAGACUCCUACGAGAGGCAGCAGUAGGGAAUCUUCCGCAAUGGGCGGAAGCCUGACGGAGCAACGCCGCGUGAGUGAUGAAGGUCUUCGGAUCGUAAAACUCUGUUAUUAGGGAAGAACAAAUGUGUAAGUAACUAUGCACGUCUUGACGGUACCUAAUCAGAAAGCCACGGCUAACUACGUG
This 497-nucleotide ribosomal RNA is filed under the name uncultured bacterium. RNAcentral describes it as "partial 16S ribosomal RNA". It matches the Rfam family "Bacterial small subunit ribosomal RNA", at positions 28 to 507 of the family's 1533-position model. The record is from RNAcentral.